AGAAUCAACGCUGGCGGCGUGCCUAACACAUGCAAGUCGAACGAGAAAGUGGAGCAAUCCACGAGUAAAGUGGCGCACGGGUGAGUAACACGUGACUAACCUACCCUUGAGUGGGGGAUAACCUAGGGAAACCUGGGCUAAUACCGCAUAAUACCUACGGGUCAAAGGAGCAAUUCGCUUAAGCGAGGGGGUCGCGGCCGAUUAGUUAGUUGGCGGGGUAAUGGCCCACCAAGACGAUGAUCGGUAUCCGGCCUGAGAGGGCGCACGGACACACUGGAACUGAAACACGGUCCAGACUCCUACGGGAGGCAGCAGUGGGGAAUUUUGCGCAAUGGGGGAAACCCUGACGCAGCAACGCCGCGUGGAGGAUGAAGUCCCUUGGGAUGUAAACUCCUUUCGAUCGGGACGAUUAUGACGGUACCGGAAGAAGAAGCCCGGCUAACUUCGCGCCAGCAGCCGC
This 460-nucleotide ribosomal RNA is filed under the name uncultured bacterium. Its description in RNAcentral is "SSU rRNA". It matches the Rfam family "Bacterial small subunit ribosomal RNA", at positions 26 to 518 of the family's 1533-position model. The record is from RNAcentral.